This is a non-coding RNA of Arachis ipaensis, 2592 nucleotides long. The record is from RefSeq and is a predicted model, not a curated record. NCBI's taxonomy places the organism in Eukaryota, Viridiplantae, Streptophyta, Magnoliopsida, Fabales, Fabaceae.
AAGGGUCCCAUGUUUUUUUGCUUUCCUUCUUUUUCUUCAUUUACGCUGCCCCUUCCAUCUCUUUUUUUUCUUUCUUUUCGAAACCCUAUUCAUCUCCUCGAUUCUAUCCUCUUUUUUCCAUUUACAGAAAAAAUUUAAUGAGUACACUCUCUCUUCAUUCUCAACUUAAUCCCGAUGCUUUUCCUCGCUCAAAAUUGAACCCAGAUCUGGCUCUCUGCUGGUGCCAGCUUUCGGAUGAUUCUUGCCACCUCUGUCAUCUCCUGUAGUUGUGAACCAUGAAACGCUCUCUAGGGGAGUUGCUGAGUGACGCUGACAAGGAACGAUCGAUUGUCAUUAUGAGAUCCAGCAAUAGAUUCUUUGGGAGGGAGCAGGAGCUCCCUUAGCAUUUGGGUGGGCAAGAUCAGAUGAUCUAUCGUCAGUUCCUUCUCUCUCUAGAAUUUGCACUGCGGACCGGGGGAACACGCCUGAUCUCUUUGGAAGAACCUUUUCAUUCUAUGUUCCACCAGAUCUGAUUUCAUUGUAUCUGCCCAAUGGAUCAGUACGGCUGAUCCAGCGAGGGCUCUCGGUCUAAUCCAGCGAGUGUUGAGCUUAUUGAAUCAAAUGUCUUUUUGUUUGAUGGGUUUUUCUUUGAAUUACUAUUCUUUUUAAUCAAUUGAAAUAUGAGAUUCAUAUAUUCGCAGUGGUCUAAUGAUUCCGUGAUAUGUGAAUGUUUCAGGCUGUUGGUGCUGUUGCUAGGGCUAGAGAAUGGGAGUAUCUGGAGCCAAUUGGCUAGCCUUUGUGCCAGUAUAUUACAUGAAGACAUGGUCAUGCAAAUUUGAUUCUUCCUUCAAGUACAGGCAUCCUAGGCAGGCUGGAGGCUCUGCUACCCCUACACUAAAUUAUAAAGAUGGAGGAGAUGGAGAAGAUGAGUCUUAUAUCUCCUUGUAAUUACGGUGUUUUUGUCUCUUUCAUUUGAUGAAGAUCUUGGGAUGUUUGAGAAGAAAGGCGAUGCUCAGAAAUUUAAAAACAAGAAAAAUAAUAAGAGAAUAAAUAUGGAGACAUCAAAUCAGUUCCUAGAUAAUGGCAGAAAGAGAAGUUGAAGCUAACUACAAUGCUGCAUCUUUUGCCCUAUAUGUUAUGGAGAGGAGACAUAUGCAAUCUGAAACACUCUCUGUCGUGUUUGACAUGUAUUUUUGCAUUUUGAAGUGCACAAUGCAUUCUAUAGCACCGGAUAGAUCGGUACCAAAAGAUGCAGAAGUCAAUGGCAAAAAUGCCAAUGGAUGAAAACAAGAUCGGUAUCACAAGUUAGGGAAAGUAUAUUACAUACAUGAAGACAGGGUCAUGCAAUGUUGGUUCUUCCUUCAAGAACAGCAAUCCUAGGUAGGUUGGAGGCUCUGCUACCCGUGUCACUAAAUUAUAAGCAUGGUCGUGUUGUCUCCAAUGGUGAGGGGUUUAGUCACAGUGAAGUCUGAUACAAAUGUUUACUCACCUGAACAGAUCCACCAUCCAAUGGAGGUAUGGAGACUUAAAGUUAGGGUACUAAGGACUUGGAUUAUUCCUUCAUUUGGGAAUCAUGAUGUUGCAAAUUCAAUGGAAGUUGUUCAUGUUGAUGCAGAUGUUGAUAAUACCCUGUGCUCUGUUUGGGGAGUAUGUGGAUGAAGUGCAUCAUUUCUUAGGUUCUGGUUAUAUGGAGCAACCAAUUGUUGUGAUCCAACUUACCAAAGUUAAAUUCUUUAAGGGACAAGUUGGUCUUUAAAAUGUUAUGCAUGCUACUCGCCUGUUCUUUAAUCCUGAUUUGGCUGAAGUUGUUGAUUUCAAAAACAGUAUGGUUGAUCAAGGUAUCAAUGGAGCACAAUCAUUGUUUAUUGCUAAUGAGGGCAAAGGUGUUUCAUUGGAAGAUGAUUUUAUGCGACUUACUAGGAGAUGCACUAUUGAAGAACUUCAUGAUAACAACGAGGUUUAUUAAGGAAGUCUUUUGUGGUUUUUGGUAUUGUGAGAUCUAUUAUGGAUGAAAGACCUUGGUGGUAUUCAGCUUGUGUUUGUGGAAAGUCAAUUCAGCCUCAAGGUGGUGCAUAUUAUUGUGAUUUUUGUCAACACUAUGUUACCAAUGUGACUCCUAGAUAUUGGAUCAAAAUAGCUGUUGAGGAUGAUAACGGACAUGGUGUAUUUGUCUUGUUCAAUCAUGAGGCUGCUUAUUUAUUGAAAAAAUCAUGUGCUAAUCUAUUUGGAGAGGUUCAAAAGGAUGCAAGUGUAUGGUUUAUGCUGUUUUUUCUUGUUGAAUUUAGUAAUGGAUAAGGUCUGUUUGUGUCAUGUAUAAUUGUAUCUUUACUGUGUUUCAGUGUGUCAUUGGUCCUUGAUUUUUCUAAGAACUAUGUGUUCAAAUUAUUUCAUAGGUUGUUUGUGGAGAUAGUUAUCAUGUGAUGUUCUAACAAUUGUUGGGGAAAAAUUGCUUCUUAAGAUAGAUACCAAGAGUGUUUGUGCUGAUAUAUAUUUCAGAACUUUCCGUGUGAGAAGAGUUUCCAAUGAUGUUGCUAUUAUUGCCAUGUUGGAGUUGCCUAACUAUGAUGCUCAUGAUGAGCGUACUCCAGUCAAUGUUGCCUCUUCAAACUCUUA